RNAcentral lists this small RNA (177 nucleotides) under Marmota monax (woodchuck). The record is from RNAcentral. Lineage: Eukaryota; Metazoa; Chordata; Mammalia; Rodentia; Sciuridae.
GCCAGGCACAGUGACACGUGCCUGUAAUCCCAGCAACUUUGGAGGCUGGGGCAGCAGGAUCAUGAGUUCAAAGCCAGUCUCAGCAAAAUCGAGGUGCUAAGCAAUUCAGUGAGACCCUGUCUCUGAAUUAAAUAUAAAAUAGGGCUGGGGAUGUGGCUCAGUGGGCCACUGCCCCUG